AACGAACGCUGGCGGCAUGCCUAACACAUGCAAGUCGAACGAGACCUUCGGGUCUAGUGGCGCACGGGUGCGUAACGCGUGGGAACAUGCCCUUAGGUUCGGAAUACCUCCCCGGAAGGGGUGCUAAUACCGGCUCAUAUCUUCCGACCGACGAUUUAUCGACUUUGGAUGGGCCCGCGUUGGAUUGGCUAGUUGUGAGGGUAAAAGCCUACCAAGGCGACGGUCCAUAGCUGGUCAGAGAGGAUAAUCAGCCACACUGGGACUGGGACACGGCCAAGACUCCUACGGGAGGCAGCAGUGGGGGAUAUUGGACAAUGGGGGAAAGCCUGAUCCAGCACUGCCGCGUGAGUGAUGAAGGCCGUAGGGUAGUAAAGCUCUUUUACCCGUGAUGAUAAUGACAGUACCGGGAGAAUAAGCGCCGGCUAACUCCGUG
This 433-nucleotide ribosomal RNA is filed under the name uncultured bacterium. Its description in RNAcentral is "partial 16S ribosomal RNA". It matches the Rfam family "Bacterial small subunit ribosomal RNA", at positions 29 to 507 of the family's 1533-position model. The record is from RNAcentral.